Molecule: ribosomal RNA, 481 nt
Filed under: uncultured bacterium
Lineage: Bacteria
Description: partial 16S ribosomal RNA
Rfam family: Bacterial small subunit ribosomal RNA
Source: RNAcentral
GAUGAACGCUGGCGGCGUGCCUAACACAUGCAAGUCGAGCGAAGCGCUUAAAUUAUAUUUCUUCGGACUGACGAUUUUUGUGACUGAGCGGCGGACGGGUGAGUAACUCGUGGUUAACCUGCCUCCUACAGGGGGAUAACAGUUAGAAAUGACUGCUAAUACCGCAUAAGACCCCAGCUUCGCAUGAAGCGGUGGUAAAAACUCCGGUGGUAUGAGAUGGACCCGCGUCUGUUUAGCUAGUUGGUAAGGUAACGGCUUACCAAGGCGACGAUCAGUAGCCGAGCUGGGAGGGUGACCGGCCACAUUGGGACUGAGACACGGACCAGACUCCUACGGGAGGGAGGAGUGGGGAAUAUUGCACAAUGGGGGAAACCCUGAUGCAGCGACGCCGCGUGAAGGAUGAAGUAUUUCGGUAUGUGAACUUCUAUCAGCAGGGAAGAGAGUGACGGUACCUGACUAAGAAGCCCCGGCUAACUACGUG